AGAAACCAAAAGAAAAAUAAAAGAAUUGUUUGUGUGUCUAUCCGAGUUGGACUCUCGUUGUUCCACCUCACACACAGGUACAUCUUGCUUUUAAAUGAGCACUUGAUCUUCUGAAGUAAUCAAACAAACGCUGACACUUGACUAUUGAUUCGACACCUAAUGGGAGCUGGGGAAGAGAGCACCCCUGCAAAGCCUUCGAAAGUUACUUCGACUCAGGAAACACAAGCAACACCUUCAUAUCCUGAUUGGUCUUCUAUGCAGGCUUAUUAUGGUGCU
This 276-nucleotide unclassified non-coding RNA is filed under the name Hevea brasiliensis (rubber tree). Lineage: Eukaryota; Viridiplantae; Streptophyta; Magnoliopsida; Malpighiales; Euphorbiaceae. The record is from RNAcentral.